CUAAUUGAUCUCUAAGGUCUUAUGGAAUGUGUGUUUGGAUUAAGAAAGCCAGAAGUGAACUUUAACUCCAACUAGGAUGAACUGUCAUGGCAGGAAUGGGGAUGAAGAUGGAGAAGAACAAAGUAAGCCUAUAAGGAAGCCUCCACCCCAAGUGGUAACUUUAAUUAAUGGCUCAUCCAUCUCUAAAGGAGGCCUCAGGGGGACAAUGGUCACAGAGCUAAGCAGAGACUCCAAGCAAAGGCAUCAGCAGAUCCACAUCAGGGUCAUGGGACUGCUCCCCCAUGACCAACAAGGAUAAUCAGUCCCUUCACACCCACCCCAGGUCCUGGCAUCUGGCCAAUCCAAGCUACUCCUACUGCUGCCGCUGUCUUUUCUCCCAGCUGACUUCUCUGUUGCCUGGAAAGCCUACAGGGACUUCUGAAGGAGGAAGGGUUGUUGGGUGAGAGGAUGAGCCAUGUGCUCUGUUCAUUGAUAGGAUCCCUGGGGGACAGGAAGAGGAUUCUCCAUUCUGUGGACCCUGGGAGGACAGAGAAUAAUACUGCAUUCAGCCUCGUUUUCUGAGGUCCCAGACCACUUCCUCUGGGACCUGAUCCCCCAAGGCUCCCUGAUCUCAUGAUGCUAGACCAAGGGAAUGGUUUCAUACCAUACCUAGUAAAGGAUCUUCAAUUCUGGAACAGUCAUGUGCAGGGGGCUUCCUUGGCAUCUCUUGACAUGCAAGGCAAAGGGAGAAAAUCAAUGGCCCAAAUUCCUGGAUAUUCUGCCCAAAGGCCAGACCCCCUGAUGAUUUGGUCAGUUACAUAUACUGAUAUCAUCCCGAUCUGCUGUCCAGCCACCCCCAGGGAACCGAAAAUGGCAUGGCAGGCUGAUGAGAGUUGCAACUGCAUGAAGAGAAGAUUGGUUUCCAGAAUGUGAGAGAUUAUAAAUCAGCUGUACUGUGCCUUAAUAAGACCACAACUGGAAUGUUUUCUUCCACUUUGGGGCACCACAUUUUAGGAAAUAUAGCAACAAUAUACACCACAAAGCAUACACACAAAAAGUGUGUCCUGACCAGAGUCCUUAAAGUACUUGAAAUGAUGGUGUAUUAGAAUCAGUUGAAGAAAAUGGGAAUAUACAAAAUGAAAGAGAGAGUCAUGGAGGGGAUAUGAUACUCACCUUCACAUACAUCAAGGAUUGUCACAGGACCUCAUCACUACCCUUUGCCUCUUUAAGGAGAGAACUCAGCUCAGACAUCUCAUUUUUCACCUGGCUACACUACCUUGACUAACCUCUCUAUCAUGUCCUCCAAAGCCAGGGACUUUCCUUGUCCGCACCCCUUUUGUGUAUUGUCUCCUUCCAAGAGACUAUACAUUCUUUGAGGGCAGAGGCUUUCUUUUGUGUAUUUAUAGUGCUUAGAACAGUGCCUAAUACAUAGUAAGCAUUUAAUAAAUAUUUACUGAUUGAUUUAUUAGACUAUUUU
This 1456-nucleotide long non-coding RNA is filed under the name Monodelphis domestica (gray short-tailed opossum). RNAcentral's name for it is "lncRNA (ENSMODG00000046192.1)". The record is from RNAcentral. Lineage: Eukaryota; Metazoa; Chordata; Mammalia; Didelphimorphia; Didelphidae.